AUCCAGAUGACGAGUCACAAAUGGGACGAAAUGCGCACCCUGGAU
Non-coding RNA from Trichobilharzia regenti, 45 nucleotides. The record is from Rfam. NCBI's taxonomy places the organism in Eukaryota, Metazoa, Platyhelminthes, Trematoda, Strigeidida, Schistosomatidae.